CAAUAUAAACUAUGAUGCAGCUCUAUCUCAUGAUAAAAUAAGAAGUGGAGUGGGAUUUAUCUGUCGAAAUUCCUCUGGUAGACCCCCUUUUUUGCAGCUUCAAAUCCAUCCCACUUUACUUCAGCAUUACAGGAGAGGCUUUGGGAAUCAAGAAAGGGUUGCUCUUUGCAAUUGGAGAAGACUGUUGGAAAGUCGUUGAAUCGAAUAACAAGGAUUCUAUGACCUUUCUUCAAAAUCACACUACUCUAAUAUUGGAGGUGCUUCCCAUUUACAAGCACAUUCUCUACUUAUCAUCCUGCCUUCAAGAAUGUUCAUUUUCUUUUGUUUGAAGGGAAAAGAACUAUGUUGCUGACUCCCUUGCCUGGGAGGCCCUAUCUCUAACGGCGGAGAUAGUUUGGCCGUUAUCCACUCGUUGGCUUUUAAAACUAUGUAACUCUGAAACUUGGCUUCAGCCCUUUCAAUAAAUCAUCUCCUUACCCAAAAAUAAAUAAAUAAAUAAAUAGCACACUAUCUUCUGCAAUUGAGAAUUUCAGACCCAAAAGACUCAAGGAGAUGGAGAGAAAAAAUCUUCAAAGCAGAGAACAUCAGGGUCAUAAGAAGAAGGUACAUUCGGUGUCAUGGAAUUGCACAGGCACGAAGGUAGCUUCCAUUUCAGUUGAUCAAACAGCUCGAGUGUGGCAAAUAGAACCACACAGAGACGUAAGAUAUUCCCCAUCUGUUCCUCUUAAAUUCUCCAAACAUUUAAGGCUAUUGAUUAGGGUUUUCCGCUUCGUUGGCGUCUAUUUUCUGAAUUUUGGUUUACUUGUGCUGUGUGACAUUUUUGUUGGAUCCUUUUGAAUCACAAUUCUCCACAUUUUAUUUUGGUU
Macadamia integrifolia is the source of this 866-nucleotide long non-coding RNA. RefSeq lists it as uncharacterized. Lineage: Eukaryota; Viridiplantae; Streptophyta; Magnoliopsida; Proteales; Proteaceae. The record is from RefSeq and is a predicted model, not a curated record. The transcript is spliced from 2 exons.